Molecule: ribosomal RNA, 253 nt
Filed under: uncultured bacterium
Lineage: Bacteria
Description: partial 16S ribosomal RNA
Rfam family: Bacterial small subunit ribosomal RNA
Source: RNAcentral
UACAGAGGGGGCAAGCGUUAUUCGGAAUUAUUGGGCGUAAAGGGCGCGUAGGCGGCUUGGCAAGUGGAUGGUGAAAUCCCUCGGCUUAACCGAGGAACUGCCAUCCAGACUGCUUUGCUUGAGGCCGGGAGAGGUGAGUGGAAUUCAUGGUGUAGCAGUGAAAUGCGUAGAGAUCAUGAGGAAGACCAGUGGCGAAGGCGGGUCUCUGGACAGUUCCUGACACUGAGACACGAAGGCCAGGGGAGCAAACGGG